RNAcentral lists this ribosomal RNA (468 nucleotides) under uncultured bacterium. Its description in RNAcentral is "partial 16S ribosomal RNA". It matches the Rfam family "Bacterial small subunit ribosomal RNA", at positions 28 to 507 of the family's 1533-position model. The record is from RNAcentral.
GACGAACGCUGGCGGCGUGCUUAACACAUGCAAGUCGAACGGAAAGGCCCUGCUUUUGUGGGGUGCUCGAGUGGCGAACGGGUGAGUAACACGUGAGUAACCUGCCCUUGACUUUGGGAUAACUUCAGGAAACUGGGGCUAAUACCGGAUAGGAGCUCCUGCUGCAUGGUGGGGGUUGGAAAGUUUCGGCGGUUGGGGAUGGACUCGCGGCUUAUCAGCUUGUUGGUGGGGUAGUGGCUUACCAAGGCUUUGACGGGUAGCCGGCCUGAGAGGGUGACCGGCCCCAUUGGGACUGAGAGACCCCCCAGACCCCCACGGGGGGGAGGAGGGGGGAAUAUUGCACAAAGGGGGGGAGCCUUAGACAGCACCGCCCCGUGCGGGAGAAGGGGCCUUGGGUUGUAAACCCCUUUCGCCUGUGACAAAGCGGGAGUGACGGUAAUGGGUAAAAAAACACCGGCGAACUCCGUG